UGCCCCGAAGACCGGGACAACCCCGAGGAAACUCGGGCUAAUACCGGAUGUGGUCACCGUCCAUAAGGACGAUGAGCAAAGGAAGCUUCGGCCUCCGCUUCGGGAGGGCCCGCGGCCCAUUAGCUUGUUGGUGAGGUAACGGCUCACCAAGGCUUCGAUGGGUAGCUGGUCUGAGAGGACGAUCAGCCACACUGGGACUGAGACACGGCCCAG
RNAcentral lists this ribosomal RNA (213 nucleotides) under uncultured bacterium. RNAcentral describes it as "partial 16S ribosomal RNA". It matches the Rfam family "Bacterial small subunit ribosomal RNA", at positions 127 to 334 of the family's 1533-position model. The record is from RNAcentral.